Molecule: ribosomal RNA, 253 nt
Filed under: uncultured bacterium
Lineage: Bacteria
Description: partial 16S ribosomal RNA
Rfam family: Bacterial small subunit ribosomal RNA
Source: RNAcentral
UACGUAGGGUGCGAGCGUUAAUCGGAAUUACUGGGCGUAAAGCGUGCGCAGGCGGUUCGUUAUGUCCGAUGUGAAAGCCCCGAGCUCAACUUGGGAAUGGCAUUGGAAACUGGCGGGCUGGAGUGUGACAGAGGGGGGUGGAAUUCCACGUGUAGCAGUGAAAUGCGUAGAGAUGUGGAGGAACACCGAUGGCGAAGGCAGCCCCCUGGGCCAACACUGACGCUCAGGCACGAAAGCGUGGGGAGCAAACAGG